RNAcentral lists this ribosomal RNA (251 nucleotides) under uncultured soil bacterium. RNAcentral's name for it is "partial 16S ribosomal RNA". It matches the Rfam family "Bacterial small subunit ribosomal RNA", at positions 27 to 288 of the family's 1533-position model. The record is from RNAcentral.
GGAUUGAACGCUGGCGGCAUGCCUAACACAUGCAAGUCGAACGGGAGUAGCAAUACUCUAGUGGCGGACGGGGUGAGGAAUACGUAGGAAUUUGCCCUUAAGUGGGGGAUAACCCGGGGAAACCCGGAUUAAUACCGCAUGACCUCGAAAGAGCAAAGUGGGGGAUCGCAAGACCUCACGCUUUUGGAGAAGCCUACGUCGGAUUAGCUAGUUGGUGAGGUAAUGGCUCACCAAGGCGACGAUCCGUAACU